AGCUCAGCUGACGGAGGUUGAUCCUGGCGGGGCAAUUUUGCGUCGGAAGCAGGUCUGACUGGUAUUGGCUCCUCGCGGCUACCGUAGGCUGGGCUCCCGUCCGCUUCAAGUGUGUUCAAUUGGGGAAUUAAGGAUAAAGGAGAGGCAGCUCCUGGGAGAAGGCUUUUUUUGUGGCAGUGGGAGAAGAGAGAGGAGACCCAGCUCCAAGCUUGCGUCCUUUCUGGCAAGUACAACGAAUUCAGCAUUACUCCAUGGAUCCUCGUGUCAAAAGACUAACUUCUGGAUCCUGAAACUUCAGACUUUGCUUCUCCUCACUACUUAGAUUUUUCCGAUGACAGUCGCAACUGAACACCUUGCCUUGGCCGUUUGACUCCUGGUCUGCACCUUUGUCUCACAACACUGAGUAAGUGGACCUAUUGGCAGGUAAGGAUGUUUCGAGAAAACAAGCUUUCACCAGGACAAUGGAAAACCCUAACAGUUCAUGAACUUGGUUUCAAAAUUCCUAAAUAAAUUCACUGAAAGUAUGUGCAAAUCAUAAAAAAAAAA
This is a non-coding RNA of Vicugna pacos (alpaca), 546 nucleotides long. Lineage: Eukaryota; Metazoa; Chordata; Mammalia; Artiodactyla; Camelidae. The record is from RefSeq and is a predicted model, not a curated record.